Molecule: non-coding RNA, 32 nt
Filed under: Mus musculus (house mouse)
Lineage: Eukaryota; Metazoa; Chordata; Mammalia; Rodentia; Muridae
Source: RNAcentral
GAACAUUGGUGUUCACGAUGAACAUAGGCAUG